GACGAACGCUGGCGGCGUGCUUAACACAUGCAAGUCGAACGGAAAGGCUCCAGCUUGCUGGAGUACUCGAGUGGCGAACGGGUGAGUAACACGUGGGUAAUCUGCCCUGCACUCUGGGAUAAGCCUGGGAAACUGGGUCUAAUACUGGAUAUGACCUUUCUCCUUAUGGGGUUUGGUGGAAAGUUUUUCGGUGUAGGAUGAGCCCGCGGCCUAUCAGCUUGUUGGUGGGGUGAUGGCCUACCAAGGCGACGACGGGUAGCCGGCCUGAGAGGGUGAUCGGCCACAUUGGGACUGAGAUACGGCCCAGACUCCGACGGGAGGCAGCAGUGGGGAAUAUUGCACAAUGGGCGGAAGCCUGAUGCAGCGACGCCGCGUGAGGGAUGACGGCCUUCGGGUUGUAAACCUCUUUCAGCAGGGACGAAGCGUAAGUGACGGUACCUGCAGAAGAAGCACCGGCUAACUAUGUG
Molecule: ribosomal RNA, 467 nt
Filed under: uncultured bacterium
Lineage: Bacteria
Description: partial 16S ribosomal RNA
Rfam family: Bacterial small subunit ribosomal RNA
Source: RNAcentral